RNAcentral lists this ribosomal RNA (609 nucleotides) under Debaryomyces sp. MYf166. Its description in RNAcentral is "eukaryotic LSU rRNA". The stretch from base 220 to 373 matches the Rfam family "5.8S ribosomal RNA". The record is from RNAcentral. Lineage: Eukaryota; Fungi; Ascomycota; Pichiomycetes; Serinales; Debaryomycetaceae.
UGAACCUGCGGAGGAUAUUACAGUAUUCUUUUUGCCAGCGCUUAAUUGCGCGGCGAAAAAACCUUACACACAGUGUUUUUUGUUAUUACAAGAACUUUUGCUUUGGUCUGGACUAGAAAUAGUUUGGGCCAGAGGUUUACUGAACUAAACUUCAAUAUUUAUAUUGAAUUGUUACUUAUUUAAUUGUCAAUUUGUUGAUUAAAUUCAAAAAAUCUUCAAAACUUUCAACAACGGAUCUCUUGGUUCUCGCAUCGAUGAAGAACGCAGCGAAAUGCGAUAAGUAAUAUGAAUUGCAGAUUUUCGUGAAUCAUCGAAUCUUUGAACGCACAUUGCGCCCUCUGGUAUUCCAGAGGGCAUGCCUGUUUGAGCGUCAUUUCUCUCUCAAACCUUCGGGUUUGGUAUUGAGUGAUACUCUUAGUCGAACUAGGCGUUUGCUUGAAAUGUAUUGGCAUGAGUGGUACUGGAUAGUGCUAUAUGACUUUCAAUGUAUUAGGUUUAUCCAACUCGUUGAAUAGUUUAAUGGUAUAUUUCUCGGUAUUCUAGGCUCGGCCUUACAAUAUAACAAACAAGUUUGACCUCAAAUCAGGUAGGACUACCCGCUGAACUUAA